UGCCCUAUGGCGCAAUUGGCAGCGCGUCAGACUGUUAUUCGCACAUCAUACGAUUGAUAAUCUGGAGGCUCUGAGUUCGACCCUCAGUGGGGCAG
Truncatella angustata is the source of this 95-nucleotide non-coding RNA. The record is from the annotation of a RefSeq genome assembly. Lineage: Eukaryota; Fungi; Ascomycota; Sordariomycetes; Amphisphaeriales; Sporocadaceae.